This 515-nucleotide ribosomal RNA is filed under the name uncultured Entrophospora. RNAcentral's name for it is "SSU rRNA". It matches the Rfam family "Eukaryotic small subunit ribosomal RNA", at positions 569 to 1080 of the family's 1831-position model. Lineage: Eukaryota; Fungi; Glomeromycota; Glomeromycetes; Entrophosporales; Entrophosporaceae. The record is from RNAcentral.
AGCAGCCGCGGUAAUUCCAGCUCCAAUAGCGUAUAUUAAAGUUGUUGCAGUUAAAAAGCUCGUAGUUGAAUUUCGGGAUUGACGUGAUGGUCAUGCCUUAAGGGGUAUGAACUGUUACUGUUGAUUUCUCACCUUCUGGAGAAACUUGAUGUCCUUUAUUGGGUGUCUUGCGGAUCCAGGACCUUUACCUUGAAAAAUUAGAGUGUUUAAAGCAGGCAUUUUUGCUCGAAUACAUUAGCAUGGAAUAAUAGAAUAGGACGGCAUGGUUCUAUUUUGUUGGUUUCUAGGAUCACCGUAAUGAUUAAUAGGGAUAGUUGGGGGCAUUAGUAUUCAAUUGUCAGAGGUGAAAUUCUUGGAUUUAUUGAAGACUAACUACUGCGAAAGCAUUUGCCAAGGAUGUUUUCAUUAAUCAAGAACGAAAGUUAGGGGAUCGAAGACGAUCAGAUACCGUCGUAGUCUUAACCAUAAACUAUGCCGACUAGGAAUCAGACGAUGUUAAUUUUUAAUGACUCGUU